RNA transcript from Ostrea edulis (European flat oyster), 3578 nucleotides. It is a transcript of the gene named N-lysine methyltransferase KMT5A-A-like, with no coding region annotated. The transcript has 6 exons. NCBI's taxonomy places the organism in Eukaryota, Metazoa, Mollusca, Bivalvia, Ostreida, Ostreidae. The record is from RefSeq and is a predicted model, not a curated record.
AUGAAAUCAUGUUUAGAUAGACCAAUGGUAUAUAAUUAUCUGCAUUAGGGAGACCGCAGGAUUAGGGGGAAAAAAUCUGGUCUCCCUAAUAUUUUAGCAUCGUGCAGGUGCCAACUCACUGUACUUUCAAGGAUAAAUCUUAUGUAGUAGUAUCUUUAGAUUGUACUUUCAUAGAAUGCGUUAUCAGGAGUAGGCGCUUUCAGGUUUUAAGGACAGAAAAUAAAUUUUAAUUAUAGACUUUGUAUAUUGAAAAAUAAAGUAAACCUGCCUUAGGGAGACCAUCAAAAAUCGUUGUGAAAAAUCAAAAAUCGACUAUAUAUUUUAUUUUCGGUUUUUGAACAUUGUUUCUAUGACUAAUAGGCACAUAUCUGGACACUUGCUUUAUUUAAAAUUUUAUUAUUUAAAAACUUUAAAUUUUGUUGUUCGAUGAGAUUUUCAUUUUCACGAUUCCGAAAUUAACGCUCGGGCUCGGAGUUUUGUGUUCCGUAUCCAGUCACAUUGAGCGGAAAAUGGCGAAUUUAUCUUACGGGAAGCGCAUGAAAGUAAAACGCCUGAAGCCUGAGGAAGAUGCCAAAUGGUGGUGUCAGGCUGGUCUUGACAAAGAUGGGUUCAAAGUAAAAUAUAUAUCUGACUAUAAAGGAUUUGGUGUAUUUGCCGAAAAAGACUUCAGAGCAGGGGAUUUUCUUCUAGAAUAUGUUGGAGAAAUAAUUACUGAAGAAGAGGCAUUUGAAAGGCAGAGAAAAUGUGAUGAAAAUAAUUUUUUUUUUUACAAGAACAAAGGAAAAAGUAUGUGUAUUGAUGCUUCAACUCAAGAUCAUAUAUGCCAGUAUGUCAAUGAUGGGAACAAGAUGGCUAAUGCUGUCAUGAAACUUUUGACUUUUGAGAGGCCUUGUCUAUGCUUGUUUGCUGUCAGAGAUAUUCAAGAGAAAGAAGAAAUACUGUAUAACUAUGGAGAUACUCAGAAUCUCUGGUGGAGAAAUAAGUGGAACAUACAUGUAAUGGAAACACAGAAAAUGAUGAAAAUGGACAGGGUGACUAUGAGGGAAGCAGUAGCUGCAGCAACCAAAGGAACAAGUCAGGUAAAGCUGUUAAUCAAUUAUGUCUCCCCCAGCAAAAGGAGUACAACAAUAUACCAUGGUGUUAUAAAUUGUGAUACAGAAGUUUCGGUUUGAUUCAUGAUACAUGUAUGUUAAUCCACCCAAAUGAUAUGGCUCCAUUUCAUUUUUAACUCACUAUAGCUGAAAGCUCAUGUGAGGUUUUUUGAUUAGUUUGUCUGUCAUCCGUCAGUCUGUAAACUUUCCACAUUUUCAAUUUCUUCUCCAGGCCAAUUUCAACCAAACUUGGCAAAACGUAUCAUUGCGCGAUGGGGAUUCAAGUGUGUUCAAAUGGUGCCCCUAGUCACAGGGUUCUGUGCUUAUGGCCCCAAAUGGUUAAAAAGGUACCAUUCUUAAAAAAUCAUCUUGUCAUAAAGCACUGGAGAGAAUUAUUUGAUAUUAUGCACGGGGCAUAUAAGCGACCAUGAGAUUCAAGUAUAUUGUUACUGGUUCUAUCCUCCACCAAUAAAAACUGGACACCAUUGUAUGAUGGAAAAUUGUUGAGUGUGGCAAAAAAAACAAACAAACAAAAUCAGGGAAUGAAAAAAGGUGUCAUCAAUGUAGUUAAGACAGUAAAAGAUGUCUCUUGCAGAUGUGAAUAUGGCAUUUUUCCAUAAAAUAAAGCAUCCCACAUGACUAUGCUAUCUUCACUUGAGGGCACAAAAAGCAACAUGAUCAUCCUUGCACUUCCAAACUUGGAUUUUAACAUUUUUUUGCAUGAGAAGCAAAAAAAAUUAACAGUAAAGAAUUUAAGAAUAUGUGAGGUAACCAUAAAUGCAUCAACAACUAGUGCAGAUGUUGCAAAUUGAAUUAAUUUUGGUAGAUUUGGCCGUUGUGGUACUUAGGUUUAAGUAUAUCGGGGCACCUAUUAAUACUAGCUAGUGGGUUCAAACUUUUUUUUUUGGUAGGGCACUGGCUUUUAAAUCUGAAGGUUGUAUUUGAGACUUAGUGAUACUUCCUAACAAUUACACUUCAUUUCUUUCACAGUAAAGUGGUAAUUGGAGGACGCACAGCUUUUGCAGGAGCAAUUUUAGGAUUUAGCAUAAAUUCAUUCAUGCUUCGCUCAAAUUUUUGCUAGGAAGAAGUUUUGCUUUUGUAGCAUGAUACAAAAAUGAUGAUCAAAUAGAUUUUGAGUGUAUUUUACAACUAAUUUAAUCUCCUUAUGAUGUUGAAUGUUUGGCCGGGUUGCAGAACCUGCAUUCAGCUUUGAAGUAUGGUGAAUGCCAGGUGAUCAGCUGGCUGAGCGGACCACUUGUGCAUGCAAUGUACUUUGUGUAAUCAAAUCAUCUCACACCUCUAACUUGACAUCCUUCAAACUUUGUACAAUUGUAUGGAGACAUUAAAGAUGUAUUUUUGACUUUUUGGAAGCGCUCUGACAUUUUUCCAAAAUUUACAUUUAGUUGAACUUUGUCACUUUCACAACUUGUUUUGAAAUAGACAGUACCUACUUUGUAAAAUUGACUCCUCUCAUAGCGUUUACUUUACAUUGUUCAGACCUUGCUUGUACAGUUGUAAUGAACACAUUGAAGAUAUGUAUGUGAUUUUUAGGAAGUGUUCAGACAUUUUUUGGAAAAGUUUACAUGUAGUUGAACUUUGUAUUUUUCUCAGUAUGUUAUUAACUCCUCUCACAGCUUUUAUUUGAUAUUCUUCAGACCAUGUACAGUUGUAAUGGACACGAAGAAAAUCUGCAUGUGGCACUUUAGAAGUGUGCUACAUGUUCAUAUCUUUGUAAUUUUCCCAGCAUGAUAUCUAAAGGCAUGGCCUAAAAUAUUUCAUUUUAUGUCAGUGAAUAAUGUAUUAAAUCAACCAUGCCAUUUUGGCCAAUUUUAGUAUUUCUUGAAACCAACCCUAACCUUAACGUCUAUACCUGUAGUCUGUAAUGCAUAUUUAAAUAUAUUUCAGGUUCUGUUCAGGAGUCCCUAAAUGGUAUUCAAUGUUCUGCAAUGCUUCCAGAGGAAACUUGUUAUGUUAAUGAAGAAGAUACUAACGGUGAUGAUGAACAGGUGGAAUCAGUUCAAAAGAAUGUUCCUAGGACAUCUAGAAAAUGCUCAGGCAAGAAUUAAGUUUCAUAUUAUAUUUGCUCUACUGUUCUUAAACAAUUGGAUUAUGCAAUUUAAUCAACUUUUGCUUAUAAACCGAAGCCAUUGAGGUGUCAUUCCAUGUUCUGUCAUCUUUUAACUGUCCAUUCAUCCAGAACUGUAUUACUUUUGUUACUGCUUCUCAAAGGGCAAGGUCUCUGGCUUGAGUACAACUGCAGUUAACAUUUUUAUACGCCCGUCUUAAGACGGGACGUAUUUGGUAUGGCGUUCAUGUCCGUCCGUCUGUUAGCUUUUUCGUGUCCGACCCGUAACUUAAAUACUACAAGGCCUAGAAUCAUCAAACUUCGUCUGUAGAUACAUCUUGGGUAGAAGGUGUGUCGCACAUUAAAACCAGGUCACUGUGACUUUUCAUUAAGAAGAUAUGGCCAUAUAUGGCAAAAACUUG